UACGGGGGGGGCAAGCGUUGUUCGGAAUUACUGGGCGGAAAGGGCUCGUAGGUGGCCAACUAAGUCAGACGUGAAAUCCCUCGGCUUAACCGGGGAACUGCGUCUGAUACUGGAUGGCUUGAGUUCGGGAGAGGGAUGCGGAAUUCCAGGUGUAGCGGUGAAAUGCGUAGAUAUCUGGAGGAACACCGGUGGCGAAGGCGGCAUCCUGGACCGACACUGACACUGAGGAGCGAAAGCCAGGGGAGCAAACGGG
RNAcentral lists this ribosomal RNA (253 nucleotides) under uncultured bacterium. RNAcentral's name for it is "partial 16S ribosomal RNA". It matches the Rfam family "Bacterial small subunit ribosomal RNA", at positions 524 to 776 of the family's 1533-position model. The record is from RNAcentral.